Molecule: ribosomal RNA, 304 nt
Filed under: uncultured bacterium
Lineage: Bacteria
Description: partial 16S ribosomal RNA
Rfam family: Bacterial small subunit ribosomal RNA
Source: RNAcentral
CAGCAGUAGCCACGGUAACACGAAGGUCCCGAGCGUUGUUCGGAAUCACUGGGCGUAAAGGGAGCGUAGGCGGCGUGGUAAGUCAGAUGCGAAAUCCCGGGGCUCAACCCCGGAACUGCAUCCGAUACUGCCAUGCUAGAGGAUUGGAGAGGUAGCUGGAAUUCUUGGUGUAGCAGUGAAAUGCGUGGAGAUCAAGAGGAACACUCGUGGCGAAAGCGAGCUACUGGACAAUAACUGACGCUGAGGCUCGAAGGCCAGGGUAGCGAAAGGGAUUAGAUACCCCCGUAGUCCCUGUCUCUUAUAC